GCUUGUUACAUCACAGACUGCUCCCUCACUUACCCCGCAACCACACAUAGUUUCUAGAUCACUGGCUCUGGGCUGAAGCAGAAGAAUUUGCAUUUCUAAUAGGUUCCCAGGUGAUGCUGCUGCGGCUAGCCUGGAGAUCAUACCCAUCUGUACUAAGAGAAUAGACUCCAAUGGGAAUGUCUGCUCACUGUUUUCUUCUAAGACCUGUGGCGUCCUCUUCUUAAACUCCGCCAGAGAAUCUGGACUGGGGACCAAGCAAAGCAGGCUUUCUACACGUGGAAAAAAAUCCUCACGUGUGGAAGAUAAUAAGAAUGGUUUCCUCCUCUGGUGUGGCCAGUUUUUACUUGUAACCCUAUGCUGUGCUCCAGAGACAUGAAGCAAAUUCACAACCUUGAUCAUUUAUUUUAAAAUGUGCAGGAAAACUGUAGUAUACUUGAUGUGGGGUAUGUUUUAUAAAUGCAGAGGAGAAACUUUU
RNAcentral lists this long non-coding RNA (475 nucleotides) under Equus asinus (donkey). Its description in RNAcentral is "lncRNA (ENSEASG00005028795.1)". Lineage: Eukaryota; Metazoa; Chordata; Mammalia; Perissodactyla; Equidae. The record is from RNAcentral.